AUUGAACGCUGGCGGCAUGCCUUACACAUGCAAGUCGAACGGUAACGCGGGGCAACCUGGCGACGAGUGGCGAACGGGUGAGUAAUGUAUCGGAACGUGCCCAGUUGUGGGGGAUAACUGCUCGAAAGAGCAGCUAAUACCGCAUACGACCUGAGGGUGAAAGCGGGAGAUCGCAAGACCUCGCGCAAUUGGAGCGGCCGAUAUCAGAUUAGGUAGUUGGUGGGGUAAAGGCCUACCAAGCCUACGAUCUGUAGCUGGUCUGAGAGGACGACCCGCCACACUGGGUCUGAGACACGGCCCAGACUCCUACGGGAGGCAGCAGUGGGGAAUUUUGGACAAGGGGGGAAACCCUGAUCCAGCCAUGCCGCGUGCGGGAAGAAGGCCUUCGGGUUGUAAACCGCUUUUGUCAGGGAAGAAAUCCUUUGAACUAAUACUUCGGAGGGAUGACGGUACCUGAAGAAUAAGCACCGGCUAACUACGUGCCAGCCGCCGCAGUAA
This 498-nucleotide ribosomal RNA is filed under the name uncultured bacterium. RNAcentral describes it as "partial 16S ribosomal RNA". It matches the Rfam family "Bacterial small subunit ribosomal RNA", at positions 30 to 523 of the family's 1533-position model. The record is from RNAcentral.